Molecule: unclassified non-coding RNA, 266 nt
Filed under: Hevea brasiliensis (rubber tree)
Lineage: Eukaryota; Viridiplantae; Streptophyta; Magnoliopsida; Malpighiales; Euphorbiaceae
Source: RNAcentral
AGAGAAAAGAAAAAGAAAAGAAAGAAAGUCAGGAUUGAACAGUAGAGAAUGAUAACGAGAAAAAAAAAGAAAGAAACAGACAAAAGCGCUGGUAAACAAAGUUGGUGGCGGUGCACUGUUGGUCUGGUCUUUGGUUUGGUCAGUAUGUCAUAAUAUCCUCCCUGCGUAUUUUAGCAUCUCAUGUAUCUCGUUUGCGUUUCUUCCAGUUCUUCAUUUUCUCCGCUAACGAGAAAUUAGAGAAGUUGUAUUUUACGGCGAUAAUUAUG